AAGUCAACUUUGAACAUAUUCUGAACAAUUCAGAAUUGUCCUCACUAACCGUUUUAAAGUCUUGCAAACGAAGGUGCAUCCACUCAUAACGGGCUUUGGGGAGGACUAUAGUCCUCUGAUGAUCAAAUCUUUCAGUUAACUUUUUCCAAAGAACUUGUGGAUCUUUCUCAGUGAGAUAUUCAAUUUUUAAUCCAUCGUGAAGAUGGUGACGGAGGAAAAUGAGUGCUUUUGCACGAUCCUGCAGGGAUUCAUUGUUUCCUUCUUUUAUUGUCUCUCCCAAACCCUUUAGGACGAGAUGGAUAUCAGCAUCCAGUAUCCAUGACAGAUAAUUUUUACCAGAUAUAUCAAGUGCAGCAAACUCAAGUUUCGUAAUGUUUGUC
This 380-nucleotide long non-coding RNA is filed under the name Olea europaea subsp. europaea. The record is from RNAcentral. Lineage: Eukaryota; Viridiplantae; Streptophyta; Magnoliopsida; Lamiales; Oleaceae.